AUGAACGCUGGCGGCGUGCCUAAUACAUGCAAGUCGAGCGAACAGACGAGGAGCUUGCUCCUUUGACGUUAGCGGCGGACGGGUGAGUAACACGUGGAUAACCUACCUAUAAGACUGGGAUAACUUCGGGAAACCGGAGCUAAUACCGGAUAACAUGUUGAACCGCAUGGUUCAACAGUGAAAGACGGUCUUUCUUUCACUUAUAGAUGGAUCCGCGCCGCAUUAGCUAGUUGGUAAGGUAACGGCUUACCAAGGCAACGAUGCGUAGCCGACCUGAGAGGGUGAUCGGCCACACUGGAACUGAGACACGGUCCAGACUCCUACGGGAGGCAGCAGUAGGGAAUCUUCCGCAAUGGGCGAAAGCCUGACGGAGCAACGCCGCGUGAGUGAAGAAGGUCUUCGGAUCGUAAAACUCUGUUAUUAGGGAAGAACAAAUGUGUAAGUAACUAUGCACGUCUUGACGGUACCUAAUCAGAAAGCCACGGCUAACUACGUG
RNAcentral lists this ribosomal RNA (496 nucleotides) under uncultured bacterium. RNAcentral describes it as "partial 16S ribosomal RNA". It matches the Rfam family "Bacterial small subunit ribosomal RNA", at positions 29 to 507 of the family's 1533-position model. The record is from RNAcentral.